GACGAACGCUGGCGGCGUGCUUAACACAUGCAAGUCGAACGGUGAAGCGCCUUCCUUUUUGGUGGGUGUGGAUGAGUGGCGAACGGGUGAGUAACACGUGAGUAACCUGCCCCCUUCUUCUGGAUAACCGCAUGAAAGUGUGGCUAAUACGGGAUAUUCUGGGUCUGUCGCAUGAUGGGUCUGGGAAAGAUAUUGUUUCGGUGGGGGUUGGGCUCGCGGCCUAUCAGCUUGUUGGUGGGGUGAUGGCCUACCAAGGCGGUGACGGGUAGCCGGCCUGAGAGGGUGGACGGUCACACUGGGACUGAGACACGGCCCAGACUCCUACGGGAGGCAGCAGUGGGGAAUAUUGCACAAUGGGCGCAAGCCUGAUGCAGCGACGCCGCGUGAGGGAUGGAGGCCUUCGGGUUGUGAACCUCUUUCGCCAGUGAAGCAGGCCUGCCUCGUUUGUGGGUGGGUUGACGGUAGCUGGGUAAGAAGCGCCGGCUAACUACGUG
This 494-nucleotide ribosomal RNA is filed under the name uncultured bacterium. RNAcentral describes it as "partial 16S ribosomal RNA". It matches the Rfam family "Bacterial small subunit ribosomal RNA", at positions 28 to 507 of the family's 1533-position model. The record is from RNAcentral.